UUGUUCAUCAAUAUUAUAAUGGCUACUGCAACAACAUGUUAUGGCCUCUUUUUCAUUAUCUUGGACUUCCACAAGAAGAUCGGCUUGCCACAACUAGAAGUUUUCAGUCUCAAUUUGCUGCAUAUAAGAAGGCUAAUCAAAUGUUUGCUGAUGUAGUGAAUAAGCACUAUGAAGAGGGUGAUGUUGUUUGGUGCCAUGAUUACCAUCUAAUGUUCCUCCCGAAGUGCUUAAAAGAACACAAUAGUAAUAUGAAAGGGUGUGUGGAGAAACCAACCAACUUUC
RNAcentral lists this unclassified non-coding RNA (282 nucleotides) under Hevea brasiliensis (rubber tree). Lineage: Eukaryota; Viridiplantae; Streptophyta; Magnoliopsida; Malpighiales; Euphorbiaceae. The record is from RNAcentral.